GUUUGUUCUGUGCCUUUGACUUCAAGUCUUCUUUUGUUUGAGUUGACAAAAGAUUAUAGAAUAUUGCUUCCCCUUAUGGUGAAAUUACAGUGAUGUUGACAUGAUGACUGGGGUAAACAUGCAUUUUAAAUGAUGUGAACAUGGUGCUGUUGGACUGGCAAUUUGGGUGCCCUCUGUAACCAUUCAAGCAAAGGAAGUGGGGGCAUCAGUCACCAAGUAUGUAUCAAAAGGAUACUUUAUCCUUUCACCAGAUGAUGAGAAGAAUGAAGGGAAGGACUGGAGACACACGACUGAGAGAUAUGACUUGGAACUAAGUGUGAUUGGAUAUCAUAGCAGUCAUGAAUCUCUUGAUGAAGGCCUAAUUCUGGAAGAUCUAAUGGUUUCUCAGGCUAUGUCAAAUGAUUAUUUGAAGGUCUCUCCAAACCAAACUGUGAAUUACUGGUCUUCAUAGUUUUGUUAUUAUAGGUAAUGCUGAAGAUUAUCUGGAAAGAAUUUUAACAUAGGGUGACAUUAAAUGCAGUUUGUUUAACAACUCAGAGGAUUCUUCCAACAGGGAUUUGGCACUU
Molecule: long non-coding RNA, 566 nt
Organism: Solanum dulcamara
Lineage: Eukaryota; Viridiplantae; Streptophyta; Magnoliopsida; Solanales; Solanaceae
Exons: 3
Source: RefSeq, a predicted model, not a curated record